This 193-nucleotide unclassified non-coding RNA is filed under the name soil metagenome. RNAcentral describes it as "partial contains 5.8S ribosomal RNA, internal transcribed spacer 2, and large subunit ribosomal RNA". The record is from RNAcentral.
AACGCACGAGACCUGCGGACCUGCGGAGGGAUCAUUACCGAGUUAUCCAACUCCCAACCCCUGUGAAUUAUACCUUUAAUUGUUGCUUCGGCGGGACUUCGCGCCCGCCGGGGACCCAAACCUUCUGAAUUUUUUAAUAAGUAUCUUCUGAGUGGUUAAAAAAAUGAAUCAGAACUUUCAACAACGGAUCUCU